This 426-nucleotide ribosomal RNA is filed under the name uncultured bacterium. Its description in RNAcentral is "bacterial SSU rRNA". It matches the Rfam family "Bacterial small subunit ribosomal RNA", at positions 356 to 773 of the family's 1533-position model. The record is from RNAcentral.
AGGGAAUUUUCCGCAAUGGGCGAAAGCCUGACGGAGCAACGCCGCGUGAGUGAGGACGGCCUUCGGGUUGUAAAACUCUGUUCUUGAGGAAGAAUUCCUUCCAGGCGAACAGCCUGGGAGGUUGACGGUACUCAAGGAGAAAGCCCCGGCUAACUACGUGCCAGCAGCCGCGGUAAUACGUAGGGGGCGAGCGUUAUCCGGAAUUAUUGGGCGUAAAGCGCGCGCAGGCGGCCGAUUAAGUCAGGUGUGAAAGGCUGCGGCUCAACCGCAGAGCGGCACCUGAAACUGGUCGGCUUGAGUGCAGGAGAGGGGAGCGGAAUUCCCGGUGUAGCGGUGGAAUGCGUAGAGAUCGGGAGGAACACCAGUGGCGAAGGCGGCUCUCUGGCCUGUAACUGACGCUGAGGCGCGAAAGCGUGGGGAGCAAAC